UACGUAGGGUGCGAGCGUUAAUCGGAAUUACUGGGCGUAAAGCGUGCGCAGGCAGCUUCGCAAGUCAGACGUGAAAUCCCCGGGCUUAACCUGGGAAUGGCGUUUGAAACUACGGAGCUGGAGUAUGGCAGAGGGGGGUGGAAUUCCACGUGUAGCGGUGAAAUGCGUAGAUAUGUGGAGGAACACCGAUGGCGAAGGCAGCCCCCUGGGCCAAUACUGACGCUCAUGCACGAAAGCGUGGGGAGCAAACAGG
RNAcentral lists this ribosomal RNA (253 nucleotides) under uncultured bacterium. Its description in RNAcentral is "partial 16S ribosomal RNA". It matches the Rfam family "Bacterial small subunit ribosomal RNA", at positions 524 to 776 of the family's 1533-position model. The record is from RNAcentral.